RNAcentral lists this ribosomal RNA (497 nucleotides) under uncultured bacterium. RNAcentral describes it as "partial 16S ribosomal RNA". It matches the Rfam family "Bacterial small subunit ribosomal RNA", at positions 28 to 507 of the family's 1533-position model. The record is from RNAcentral.
GACGAACGCUGGCGGCGUGCCUAAUACAUGCAAGUUGAGCGCUGAAGGUUGGUACUUGUACCGACUGGAUGAGCAGCGAACGGGUGAGUAACGCGUGGGGAAUCUGCCUUUGAGCGGGGGACAACAUUUGGGAACGAAUGCUAAUACCGCAUAAAAACUUUAAACACAAGUUUUAAGUUUGAAAGAUGCAAUUGCAUCACUCAAAGAUGAUCCCGCGUUGUAUUAGCUAGUUGGUGAGGUAAAGGCUCACCAAGGCGAUGAUACAUAGCCGACCUGAGAGGGUGAUCGGCCACAUUGGGACUGAGACACGGCCCAAACUCCUACGGGAGGAAGCAGUAGGGAAUCUUCGGCAAUGGACGAAAGUCUGACCGAGCAACGCCGCGUGAGUGAAGAAGGUUUUCGGAUCGUAAAACUCUGUUGGUAGAGAAGAACGUUGGUGAGAGUGGAAAGCUCAUCAAGUGACGGUAACUACCCAGAAAGGGACGGCUAACUACGUG